Non-coding RNA from Candidatus Roizmanbacteria bacterium, 3386 nucleotides. NCBI's taxonomy places the organism in Bacteria, Candidatus Roizmaniibacteriota. The record is from Rfam.
GGAUAUUGUAAUUAAAGCUAGUGGUGAAUGCCUAGGUAAUUUGAGCCGAGGAAGGACGUGUGUAUGGACACGAUAUCGUCGAUAAGUCUCCUAACAGACAUUACAAUCGGCGGUUUCCCAAUGGGAUAACCCCACUGAUAGUAAUAUCAGUGACCCCCGAUUUUAUCGGGGGAGGAUACCUGGUGAACUGAAACAUCUCAGUAACCGGAGGAAAAGAAAUCAAAAUGUCUCAAUUAGACGCAAGUUUAGUUGAGCGAGAUUCCGUCAGUAGCGGCGAGCGAAAGCGGAGGAGCCUAAACCCCGAUUUAAUCGGGGGGUUGCGGGAGUCUGCAUACCUACACUUUUUUUCUAGAUGAAUGUCAUGGAAAGGACAACCAAAGAAAGUGAUAGUCUUGUAGUUAAAAGAAGAAAAGUGUAAGCGGAAUUUCCCAAGUACCACGGGACACGGAAAACCUUGUGGGAAGCUAGGGCGGUCAUGCUCUAAGGCUAAAUACUCAAAUUAACCGAUAGUGAACCAGUACCGUGAGGGAAUGGUGAAAAGUCCCCCGGCGAGGGGAGUGAAAUAGAACCUGAAACCGCUAGCUAACAAGCAGUGAGAGCCCCGAUUUAAUCGGGGUAAUCGCGUGCCUAUUGAAGAAUGAGCCAGCGAGUUUUCAAGAGCUGCUUAAGGUUAACCAAUAAAAAGUUGGGUAGCCAUAGCGAAAGCAAUCCCACCGAAAGGCGGGAACGUCUGAAUAGGGCGUUGGUAGCUUUUGAAAGACCCGAAACUGGGUGAUCUAACCAUGGGCAGGGUGAAUCCCGCCGAAAGGCGGGAGGAAGCCCGAACCCGUUAUCGGUGAAAUGAUAUGGGAUGACCUGUGGUUAGGGGUAAUAUGCUAAUCGAACCCAGAGAUAGCUGGUUCUCCCCGAGAUAUAUUUAGGUAUAGCCUUCCUGCUCAUAAAACACCUGGGGUAAAGCACUGAAUAGUCCAGAGAGUCUAGUACAAUUUGGAUUAAUCAAACUCUGAAUACAGUCGUGUUUUGGCGGGAGGAGUCAGACUCACUAGGAUAAGCUAGCGUGGUCGAAAGGGAAACAGCCCAGACUCCCAUCUAAGGUCUCUAAAUGGUUAUUAAGUGGGAAAGGUAGUGAGAUUUCAAAGACAGCCGGGAGGUUGGCUUAGAAGCAGCCAUCCUUUAAAGAAAGCGUAACAGCUCACCGUAAUAGCCCCGAUUUAAUCGGGGAUGAGGUCUUGCGCCGAAAAUGAUCGAGGCUUAAAUAAUCUACCGAAGAUGGAGAUGCUUGUGCUUUGCACAAGUGUGGUAGGGGAGCGUCCCGUGUACGAUGAAGAUCUACCGUAAGGUGGGUUGGAGUUAACGGGAGUGAGAAUGCUGGCAUAAGUAGCGAUUCUCCCGCUGAAAAUGCGGGAUGCCGUAUGUCCAAGGUUUCCUCAGCAACGUACAUCGGCUGAGGGUUAGUCGGAUCUAAGGGCUCUGCCGAUAGGCGAGUCUCGAUGUCCAAGCUGUUAAUAUUCAGCUACUCUUUAUAAAGCGUUACUACUUUUAUACUAACGAAAUCUGAUAAUCGAAGCCUUCUAUAUGAGGGUCUAAAUGGUAAGCACCACCAAUUGGUGGGACCGAGCCAUGAAUGCGACCCCGAUUUUAUUGGGGGAGCUCGAUGCGUUAAGUUUCCGGGAAAAGGUAUAAAAGGAGUUUUAUAAGGAUCCGUACCGCAAACCAACACAGGUGGACUGGUAGAGUAUACUAAGGCAAUCGAGUAAUGGUGGUUCAAGGAACUCGGCAAAUCAGCUGGACGUAACUUUGGAGAUGUCCUUCCCGCCUUUGGCGGGACACAGCAAAUGAUUUCCAUCUAACUGUUUACCAAAAACACAGCUCCCUGCAAACCGGAAACGGGAAGUAUAGGGGGUGAGGCCUGUCCAGUGCCGGUAAGUUAAGGAUCGGGGUUAAUCCCGAUAUCACGAAAGUAAUAUCGGGAAAGGCUCUGAUUCAAGCUCCGGUGAACGACAGCUCUAACUCUGAGAGUUCUAAGGUAGCGUAGUCCCUUGUCGGGUAAGUUCCGACCUGCAUGAAUGGCGUAAUAAGAUGGAAACUGUCUUGAACCAUUGCUCGGCGAAAUUGAAAUGGCUGUGAAGAUGCGGCCUUCCUGCACCAGGACAAGAAGACCCCGGGAGCUUUACUGAAGCUUAUUAUUGACAAGAAAUUAUUAACUGUCUAGCGUAGGAGGGAGUUUUGGCAGCAAUGCCGGACACCAAUGAAACACCUCUCUUUGAUAAUUUUGAGUCUUACCCCGAUUUAAUCGGGGGACAGUAGUAGGUGGUCAGUUUAACUGGGGCGGUUUCCUCCAAAAGGGUAACGGAGGAGCGCAAAGGUUGGCUUUUUCCGGAUGGAAAUCGGAAUGUACGUGUAAACGCAUAAGCCAGCUUAACUGUGAGGAAUACAAUCCGAGCAGAUCCGAAAGGAGGCGUUAGUGAUCCCCCGAUCGGUUAUGAUUACCGGUGGGGCUUAUCGGAUAAAAGCUACCCCGGGGAUAACAGGCUGGUCUCCCCUAAGAGUUCACAUCGACGGGGAGGUUCGGCACCUUAUGAGCCAAAUAAUUGGGGUGCCUUCAGUAGCAAUACUGAUAAAAAAAUGUGACUUAUAACGGUGGACUCCAUAAAUGCCCGAUGAUAGAAUAUCAUCGUUAUUAUGGACAAUACCGUGGGAAGUCUAACUCGAGCUCAAAAAUCUGUUAUCAUAGGGUCUAUUCUUGGAGAUGGCUAAUUUUAGAAUUCGUUUUCUAAAAUCUAGCUUACCAAGAUUACAUGAUCUUAUUGGUAAAAAUCUUAUACCUUCAAUGAAGUAUAAACUUGAGUUAUGACCCCGUAGAGACUUCUCCGAUUUAAUCGGGGAGAGUUCAAUAAAAAAUUGAGCUAAUACGUCACCCCCAGAUUUCAGAUAUCUGGGUGAAGAUAUAGUCCGCGCCAUUAGUAAUAAUGGAUUAUCAUGCGAUGUCGGCUCAUCGCAUCCUGGGGCCGUAGCAGGUCCCAAGGGUUGGUCUGUUCGCCCAUUAAAGCGGUACGCGAGCUGGGUUCAGAACGUCGUGAGACAGUUCGGACUCUAUCCGGUGCAGGCGUUUGGAUUCUUGAAAAGGCUCUUCUCUAGUACGAGAGGACCGAGAAGAGGGAAUCCCUGGUGUAUCAGUUGUCCUAUAAGGGCAUUGCUGAGUAGCUAUAUUCCUAUGAGAUAAGUACUGAAAGCAUCUCAAGUACGAAGCUUACUUUAAGAUGAGGAAUCCACCCCCGAUUUAAUCGGGGAUAAAUCCCCCGGUAGAUGACCGGGUUGAUAGGCGCAUGGUGUAAGUCCAGUAAUGGAUUUAGCCUAUGCGUACUAAUGGAUGAUUCAAUAUCCCG